UCGGGAAUUUUGGGCAAUGGGCGAAAGCCUGACCCAGCAACGCCGCGUGAAGGAUGAAGUAUUUCGGUAUGUAAACUUCGUAAGAAUAGGAAGAAUAAAUGACGGUACUAUUUGUAAGGUCCGGCUAACUACGUGCCAGCAGCCGCGGUAAUACGUAGGGACCAAGCGUUGUUCGGAUUUACUGGGCGUAAAGUGUGCGCAGGCGGCCGAGCAAGUCGAGUGUGAAAGCCCCGAGCUUAACUUGGGAAUUGCGCUCGAAACUACUUGGCUGGAGUGUGGCAGAGGAGGGUGGAAUUCCACGUGUAGCGGUGAAAUGCGUAGAGAUGUGGAGGAACACCGAUGGCGAAGGCAGCCCUCUGGGCCAACACUGACGCUCAUGCACGAAAGCGUGGGGAGCAAACAGGAUUAGAUACCCCGGUAGUCCCUGAGCGGGCUGGCAAGGCGCAU
Molecule: ribosomal RNA, 447 nt
Filed under: uncultured bacterium
Lineage: Bacteria
Description: bacterial SSU rRNA
Rfam family: Bacterial small subunit ribosomal RNA
Source: RNAcentral